Long non-coding RNA from Neogale vison (American mink), 704 nucleotides. RefSeq lists it as uncharacterized. The transcript has 4 exons. The record is from RefSeq and is a predicted model, not a curated record. NCBI's taxonomy places the organism in Eukaryota, Metazoa, Chordata, Mammalia, Carnivora, Mustelidae.
AGGCAACAGUAACUAGCGUAUUAGAAUAUCUGAGUAAUUGGUUUGGAGAAAGAGACUUCACUCCAGAACUGGGAAGGUGGCUUUAUGCAUUACUGGCUUGUCUUGAAAAACCUUUAUUACCUGAGGCUCAUUCACUGAUUCGGCAGCUAGCAAGAAGGUGCUCUGAAGUAAGGCUCUUAGUGGACAGUAAAGAUGAUGAGCGGGUUCCUGCUUUGAAUUUAUUAAUCUGUCUGGUUAGCAGGUAUUUUGACCAACGUGAUUUAGCUGAUGAACCAUCUUGAUUUGGCUGGUCUCUCUGGGAUAGAAGAUACUUGUGAUGAAGGCAGCCUGAGUCUGAGGAUAUACAGUGACAACUCAAGUAUAGAAUUGAAUCCUAUCUUCAACAUUAUUUGAAGGGUCUUCAUCUUAACCUGUGCAUUACAAGUUGACAUUCGGAAGAUAUAUUGAUUUGAGUGUCUGAAGUAUUCUUUGGAAAAUCCCAGCCAGCCAAUUUAUGACAGAACAGUUUAAACAGUUUUCUAUAAUUACAUGUUUUUAAAACAAAUUCAGUGCCAUUUAUUGGUGAAGCAUCCUGUACAGAAACUGUAUGAUAAAAUUUUAGAGAUCAUUGGUGCUUUUUCAUUGUUUCUUUAUACAUAUACACAUAAACUCUUAUUGAAAAUGUGUUUUGGUUAUUAAAAUCUUGUUUGACCCUUUCUUUUUAA